RNAcentral lists this ribosomal RNA (409 nucleotides) under Allogona townsendiana frustrationis. Its description in RNAcentral is "partial 16S ribosomal RNA". It matches the Rfam family "Bacterial large subunit ribosomal RNA", at positions 1796 to 2555 of the family's 2925-position model. Lineage: Eukaryota; Metazoa; Mollusca; Gastropoda; Stylommatophora; Polygyridae. The record is from RNAcentral.
UCGCCUGUUUAUCAAAAACAUAACUAUAUGUAAAUAUAUAUAGCUAUUUCUGCUCAAUGGCUUGUUUAAAUAGCCGCAGUACUUUGACUGUGCAAAGGUAGCAUAAUCAGUUGGCUUUUAAUUAAAGUCUGGAAUGAAUGAAAGAUUGGGGGGUUCCUGUCUCCUUUAGAAGCAUUUGAAUUUUCUUAGGUGGUGAAAAUUCCAUCAAAAAGAUGUAAGACGAGAAGACCCUUGAAAUUUUUUGAAUAAUAUAAUACUAAUCAUUUUGUUGGGGCGACAAAGUAACAAUUGAACUUACUUUAAGUGUAAAAUUUGAAGCUAAUAUGCAUUUAAAUUAAAUUACUCAAGGGAUAACAGCAUAAUAUUGUAAAGUUUGUGACCUCGAUGUUGGACUAGGAUCAGGCAAUUG